GAUGAACGCUAGCUACAGGCUUAACACAUGCAAGUCGAGGGGAAACGACAUCGCAAGCUUGCUUUUGAUGGGCGUCGACCGGCGCACGGGAGAGUAACACGUAUCCAACCUGCCCAUCACUUGGGAAUAAAAUUGCGAAAGUAAGACUAAUACCCAAUGAUAUCCCACGAAGGCAUCGGAAUGGGAUGAAAGAUGUAUCGGUGAUGGAUGGGGAUGCGUCUGAUUAGCUGGUUGGCGGGGUAACUGCCCACCAAGGGAACGAUCAGUAGGGGUUCGGAGGGUAACGCCCCCCACAGGGGAACCGGGCCCCUGGCCAAUCUCCUACGGCAGGCAGCAGUACGGAAUAUUGAUGAAUGGGCGAUAGCCUGAACCAGCCAAGUCGCGUGCAGGAAGACGGCCCUCUGGGUUGUAACCUGCUUUUAUAAGGGAAUAAAGUGGGUCACGUGUGACUUUUUGCCUGUACCUUAUGAAUAAGGACCGGCUAAUUCCGUG
RNAcentral lists this ribosomal RNA (492 nucleotides) under uncultured bacterium. RNAcentral's name for it is "partial 16S ribosomal RNA". It matches the Rfam family "Bacterial small subunit ribosomal RNA", at positions 28 to 507 of the family's 1533-position model. The record is from RNAcentral.